AAUGAACGUUGGCGGCGUGGAUUAGGCAUGCAAGUCGAGCGUACCCAGCAAUGGGGAAGCGGCAAACGGGGUAGUAAGGCGUCGGUACGUGCCCUCGGGACGAGGAUAGCCACGGGAAACUGUGGGUAAUACUCGAUGAUCUCGUGAGAGCAAAGGUGUGAUUCCGCCAGGGGAGCGGCCGACGUGGUAUUAGGUAGUUGGUGGGGUAAUGGCCCACCAAGCCUGGGAUGCCUAGGGGGUGUGAGAGCAUGGCCCCCACCAUUGGGACUGAGAUACUGCCCAGACACCUACGGGUGGCUGCAGUCGAGAAUCUUCGGCAAUGGGCGCAAGCCUGACCGAGCGACGCCGCGUGCGGGAUGAAGGCCUUCGGUUGUAACCGACUGUCAGAGGGAGUGAAAGUACACAGUGGGUUCGUUCCCACUUGUGUUGACAGAGCCUCAGAGGAAGCGCGGGCUAAGUUCGUG
Molecule: ribosomal RNA, 464 nt
Filed under: uncultured bacterium
Lineage: Bacteria
Description: bacterial SSU rRNA
Rfam family: Bacterial small subunit ribosomal RNA
Source: RNAcentral